GGAUAAAAGCUACCCCGGGGAUAACAGGCUGAUCUCCCCCAAGAGUCCACAUCGACGGGGAGGUUUGGCACCUCGAUGUCGGCUCAUCGCAUCCUGGGGCUGUAGUCGGUCCCAAGGGUUGGGCUGUUCGCCCAUUAAAGCGGUACGCGAGCUGGGUUCAGAACGUCGUGAGACAGUUCGGUCCCUAUCCGUCGCGGGCGCAGGAAAUUUGAGAGGAGCUAUCCUUAGUACGAGAGGACCGGGAUGGACGCACCGCUGGUGUACCAGUUGUCCCGCCAGGGGCACCGCUGGGUAGCUAUGUGCGGACGGGAUAAGCGCUGAAAGCAUCUAAGCGUGAAGCCCCCCUCAAGAUGAGAUUUCCCACCGCGUCAGGCGGGUAAGAUCCCUCGAAGAUGACGAGGUCGAUAGGUCCGAGGUGGAAGCGUGGCGACACGUGGAGCU
RNAcentral lists this ribosomal RNA (441 nucleotides) under Geobacillus stearothermophilus. RNAcentral describes it as "bacterial LSU rRNA". It matches the Rfam family "Bacterial large subunit ribosomal RNA", at positions 2454 to 2892 of the family's 2925-position model. Lineage: Bacteria; Bacillati; Bacillota; Bacilli; Caryophanales; Anoxybacillaceae. The record is from RNAcentral.